Molecule: ribosomal RNA, 254 nt
Filed under: uncultured bacterium
Lineage: Bacteria
Description: partial 16S ribosomal RNA
Rfam family: Bacterial small subunit ribosomal RNA
Source: RNAcentral
UACGUAGGGUGCAAGCGUUGUCCGGAAUUAUUGGGCGUAAAGAGCUCGUAGGCGGUCUGUCGCGUCUGCUGUGAAAACUCAGGGCUUAACCCUGAGCUUGCAGUGGGUACGGGCAGACUAGAGUGCGGUAGGGGAGACUGGAAUUCCUGGUGUAGCGGUGAAAUGCGCAGAUAUCAGGAGGAACACCGGUGGCGAAGGCGGGUCUCUGGGCCGUAACUGACGCUGAGGAGCGAAAGCAUGGGGGAGCGAACAGG